This 24-nucleotide non-coding RNA is filed under the name Rattus norvegicus (Norway rat). The record is from RNAcentral. Lineage: Eukaryota; Metazoa; Chordata; Mammalia; Rodentia; Muridae.
UGUGUGACACUGUGGCCACAAGGA